GAUGAACGCUGGCGGCGUGCCUAAUACAUGCAAGUCGAGCGAACAGACGAGGAGCUUGCUCCUCUGACGUUAGCGGCGGACGGGUGAGUAACACGUGGAUAACCUACCUAUAAGACUGGGAUAACUUCGGGAAACCGGAGCUAAUACCGGAUAACAUGUUGAACCGCAUGGAUCAACAGUGAAAGACGGUUUUGCUGUCACUUAUAGAUGGAUCCGCGCCGCAUUAGCUAGUUGGUAAGGUAACGGCUUACCAAGGCAACGAUGCGUAGCCGACCUGAGAGGGUGAUCGGCCACACUGGAACUGAGACACGGUCCAGACUCCUACGGGAGGCAGCAGUAGGGAAUCUUCCGCAAUGGGCGAAAGCCUGACGGAGCAACGCCGCGUGAGUGAAGAAGGUCUUCGGAUCGUAAAACUCUGUUAUUAGGGAAGAACAAAUGUGUAAGUAACUAUGCACGUCUUGACGGUACCUAAUCAGAAAGCCACGGCUAACUACGUG
This 497-nucleotide ribosomal RNA is filed under the name uncultured bacterium. Its description in RNAcentral is "partial 16S ribosomal RNA". It matches the Rfam family "Bacterial small subunit ribosomal RNA", at positions 28 to 507 of the family's 1533-position model. The record is from RNAcentral.